Small nuclear RNA from Pan paniscus (pygmy chimpanzee), 104 nucleotides. The record is from Ensembl. NCBI's taxonomy places the organism in Eukaryota, Metazoa, Chordata, Mammalia, Primates, Hominidae.
GUGCUUCCUUCAGCAGCACAUAUACUAAAAUUGGAACAAUACAGAAAUUAGCAUGGCCCCUGUGCAAGGAUGACAUGCAAAUUUGUGAAGCGUUCCAUAUAUAA